This 492-nucleotide ribosomal RNA is filed under the name uncultured bacterium. Its description in RNAcentral is "partial 16S ribosomal RNA". It matches the Rfam family "Bacterial small subunit ribosomal RNA", at positions 29 to 507 of the family's 1533-position model. The record is from RNAcentral.
AGUGAACGCUGGCGGUAGGCCUAACACAUGCAAGUCGAACGGCAGCACAGUAAGAGCUUGCUCUUACGGGUGGCGAGUGGCGGACGGGUGAGGAAUACAUCGGAAUCUACUUUUUCGUGGGGGAUAACGUAGGGAAACUUACGCUAAUACCGCAUACGACCUACGGGCGAAAGCAGGGGAUCUUCGGACCUUGCGCGAUUGAAUGAGCCGAUGUCGGAUUAGCUAGUUGGCGGGGUAGAGGCGCACCAAGGCGACGAUCCGUAGCUGGUCUGAGAGGAUGAUCACACACACUGGAACUGAGAAACGGCCCAGACUCCUAGGGGAGGAAGCAGUGGGGAAUAUUGGACGAUGGGGCAAAGCCUGAUCCAGCAAUACCGCGUGGGUGAAGAAGGCCUUCGGGUUGGAAAGCCAUUUUGUUGGGAAAGAAAUGCAGCAGGUUAAUACCCCGCUGUUAUGACGGUACCCAAAGAAUAAGCACCGGCUAACUUCGUG